RNAcentral lists this ribosomal RNA (160 nucleotides) under uncultured Gammaproteobacteria bacterium. RNAcentral's name for it is "partial 16S ribosomal RNA". It matches the Rfam family "Bacterial small subunit ribosomal RNA", at positions 355 to 507 of the family's 1533-position model. Lineage: Bacteria; Pseudomonadati; Pseudomonadota; Gammaproteobacteria. The record is from RNAcentral.
UGGGGAAUAUUGGACAAUGGGGGCAACCCUGAUCCAGCCAUGUCGCGUGUGUGAAGAAGGCCUUCGGGUUGUAAAGCACUUUAAGUGGGGAGGAAGGGGUGAGCAUUAAUACUGAUCAUCAUUGACGCUACCCACAGAAUAAGCACGGGCUAACUCUGUG